This 651-nucleotide ribosomal RNA is filed under the name uncultured bacterium. RNAcentral describes it as "bacterial SSU rRNA". It matches the Rfam family "Bacterial small subunit ribosomal RNA", at positions 580 to 1228 of the family's 1533-position model. The record is from RNAcentral.
UUGAUAAGUUGGAUGUGAAAUCCCAUGGCUUAACCAUGGAACUGCAUCCAAAACUGUCAGACUAGAAUGAGGGAGAGGUCAGUGGAAUUAGUGGUGUAGGGGUAAAAUCCGUAGAGAUCACUAGGAAUACUCAUUGCGAAGGCGACUGACUGGAACUUUAUUGACGCUGAGGCGUGAAAGCGUGGGGAGCAAACAGGAUUAGAUACCCUGGUAGUCCACGCCCUAAACGAUGUACACUAGUUGUUGGGAUGCAAGUCAUUCCAGUGAUGCAGUUAACACAUUAAGUGUACCGCCUGGGGAGUACGGUCGCAAGAUUAAAACUCAAAGGAAUAGACGGGGACCCGCACAAGUGGUGGAGCAUGUGGUUUAAUUCGAAGAUACGCGAAGAACCUUACCUGGGCUUGACAUCCCGAGAAUCACCCAGAGAUGGGUGAGUGCCAGUUUACUGGAGCUCGGUGACAGGUGCUGCACGGCUGUCGUCAGCUCGUGUCGUGAGAUGUUGGGUUAAGUCCCGCAACGAGCGCAACCCUCGUCCUUAGUUGCUAACAGUUAGGCUGAGCACUCUAAGGAGACUGCCUUCGUAAGGAGGAGGAAGGUGAGGACGACGUCAAGUCAUCAUGGCCCUUAUGCCCAGGGCGACACACGUGCUAC